This 427-nucleotide ribosomal RNA is filed under the name uncultured bacterium. RNAcentral describes it as "partial 16S ribosomal RNA". It matches the Rfam family "Bacterial small subunit ribosomal RNA", at positions 355 to 774 of the family's 1533-position model. The record is from RNAcentral.
UGGGGAAUAUUGCACAAUGGGCGCAAGCCUGAUGCAGCCAUGCCGCGUGUAUGAAGAAGGCCUUCGGGUUGUAAAGUACUUUCAGCGGGGAGGAAGGCGAUGUGGUUAAUAACCGCGUCGAUUGACGUUACCCGCAGAAGAAGCACCGGCUAACUCCGUGCCAGCAGCCGCGGUAAUACGGAGGGUGCAAGCGUUAAUCGGAAUUACUGGGCGUAGAGCGCACGCAGGCGGUCUGUCAAGUCGGAUGUGAAAUCCCCGGGCUCAACCUGGGAACUGCAUCCGAAACUGGCAGGCUUGAGUCUCGUAGAGGGGGGUAGAAUUCCAGGUGUAGCGGUGAAAUGCGUAGAGAUCUGGAGGAAUACCGGUGGCGAAGGCGGCCCCCUGGACGAAGACUGACGCUCAGGUGCGAAAGCGUGGGGAGCAAACA